ACGCUCGACACCUACGGGAGGCAGCAGUGGGGAAUAUUGCACAAUGGGAGGAAACUCUGAUGCAGCGAUGCCGCGUGAGGGAAGAAGGUUUUCGGAUUGUAAACCUCUGUCUUUGGGGACGAUAAUGACGGUACCCAAGGAGAAGCUCCGGCUAACUACGUGCAAGCAGCCGNGGUAAUCUGAGCGGGCUGGCAAGGC
RNAcentral lists this ribosomal RNA (198 nucleotides) under uncultured bacterium. Its description in RNAcentral is "partial 16S ribosomal RNA". It matches the Rfam family "Bacterial small subunit ribosomal RNA", at positions 328 to 539 of the family's 1533-position model. The record is from RNAcentral.